Long non-coding RNA from Chenopodium quinoa (quinoa), 764 nucleotides. RefSeq lists it as uncharacterized. The record is from RefSeq and is a predicted model, not a curated record. The transcript is spliced from 3 exons. NCBI's taxonomy places the organism in Eukaryota, Viridiplantae, Streptophyta, Magnoliopsida, Caryophyllales, Amaranthaceae.
UAACUUUUUGAUUUUAUUACUCUUUCUAGAUAACCAUGUCUGCAGUUAGGGAAUGGGCUGCCUCUCAAGAUGCUAAGCUUCUGCAGGCUGUUGCUGUAAAUAAUUUAGGCAAAUGGAAAACUGCAACACAGAUGACUGCACUUACUUUGAUCUUGGCUACUCGAGACAGCAGUUUGUUGCCAGCCAAGGGGCUCUAGCAACUUCUGGUGUUGCUCUGCUCUAUAUAUCAGCCGGGCUUGCAGUAUGGUCACUAGUAGUAUAUAUGAAGAAAAUUUGGAAGGUGUUAAUGAGAUAAAUAGUGAUACGCUCAGAGCUUGCAUUAUGUGAUUAAUCAUACGGCCCAGCCCUAGGUUGGCAAUUAAAUCAAGGUUGACAAUCUCCAAGUCAGUGAGUUGUGCUAUGGUCAAGAUGCGGCAUCGAAGUACAAAAUACAACGGCAACAAGAAAGGAGGAAGUUUGAGUCAACAACAAGGGCAAGAUGACAAAACUCAUUAAGAAGGACUUGAGGAAAGCAAGCAACAAGCUUCUACAAUGUCUAAUUAUGGUUUUGCCAUUUUAGCUAAUUAGUCACAUGAAUCUAUCCUUAGUCUUAGAAGUCUUGAGUAUAAGUAAGUUAGUAAGUUUGGCAAUUAGGAUUAUCCAGAAAUUGAAUGUAUUGUAAUUGAGAGUUGUAGCCUCAAGCUACAUUGUGAGAUUAAUGGCCUCAAGCCAUUGCUAUCCUACUUCCAUUAAUCAAUGAAAUACUCAAGCUUUCCUCUUAAUUA